GGGACAGGGGGACAGAGGGACGGGGGGGGACAGGGAGACCAUGAGACAGGCAGAGCAGCAGGUGUUGGAACAGUUGUUAGGUAAUGUCUAUCUGUGGUUUAUGACGUUGGGACAACGACACUCUGGACCACUAGCAGGAUGUGAAGCCUUCGUCAGGUGAGGAGCAGAAAGGAGAGGGGUGUUCUGUAGAGAGGAGAGGAGAGGGGAUGAGAAGGGGGCACAGCCUGGGUGCAAUCUAGAGGCCUGAAGGUGAGCUUCUGUUUGCUGAGGUGUCACACGGUUCCUGCCUUUGAUCAACAGUGUAGUGUCAGGAAAGUGAGGACCAUGUUAGCUGUUAGCUGUUGGUUUGUCUUGGUCUUGAUAGAUUCUUAAAGGUUCCUAGAAUUCUUUUAGGUUCCUAGAAUGCUUUUAGGUUAUUAGAAUGCUUUUAGGUUCCUAGAAUACUUUUAGGUUAUUAGAAUGCUUUUAGGUUAUUAGAAUGCUUUUAGGUUCCUAGAAUGCUUUAAGGUUAUUAGAAUGCUUUUAGGGUCAUAGAAUGCUUUUAGGUUCUUAGAAUGCUUUUAGGUACUUAGAAUGCUUUUAGGUUCCCAGAAUUCAUUGCAGAGAAGGGAAAGAUGUAGUAAGGUAGAAUUUAAAAUGUUCAGUGGAGCCAGCUUUCUGGAUGGAGUUUAGUAGAGUGCAUCAAGGAUAGACUGUCUGAAUGACCCAUUUCCACACUACGGUGGAGACAAGGAAGACUCUGGGAUGUGGAUGAGACCAUGAAUCGCAGUAAAGCCGGGGCCGGUCUGUCAGGGAGGAGAUCCUGUCGUUGCCUCCUGUGAAGACAUGCUUCCUUAUAUCCCCAUAUGAAUACUGCUGUUAUGGAAUGUAAGGAAGUGUGUGGUUACAAGGGGACUGGAGCGCCAAACUGAGAAGAUGAUGCUUGUUUGGAUGAAAACUAAGGCUGCAAGACUGAAUGGGCGUUUUAUUGUCAUUUAUAUAGAGGAGUAGUGUGUGUGUGUGUGUGUGUGUGUGUGUGUGUGUGUGUGUGUGUGUGUGUGUGUGUGUCUGUGUGUGCGUGUGUGCGUGCGUGCGUGCGUGCGUGUGUGUGUGCGUGUGUGUGUGUGUGUGUCUGUGUGUGUGCGUGUGUGUGUGGCCCAGCCAACAGGUGGAAGGGGCUGUUCUUCAUUCGGUGUCCUUCAGCCCAGACACGUGUGGUCGUUAACCACUAGCUGUGUGUGUGGGUGAAAUGGCACCCAAUUUCUUAAAUAGUGCACUACUUUUAACCAGAGCCUUUAUGGGCCAUUGUCAAAAGUAGUGCACUUUAAAGGAAAUAGGCUGCCAUUUGUGACGUACCUCUGCCCUGCCCAGCCCUGCUGCUGACAGUCAAGGGGGAUUGACAGAACAGCUGUCCCCAGUUAUAGCAACAGGAGGAGGGGUUGGGAAAGAAGAGGAGAGGGAGGGAGGGAGAGGUGGGGUUGUCAUUGAGAGUGGGGUGUGUUGGGUAGAGGUUGAGUGUUGACUGGUUGUUUGUAUCUCUAAUAAUAUUAUUUCACUUUUUAUUUCACUUUUUAUUUAACCUUUAUUUCACUUUUUAUUUAACUAGGCAAGUUGGUUAAAGAACAAAUUAUUAUUUACAACGACUGCCUAGGAUGGGAGAGGUCUACUCUGCUUAGUAACAUCACUUUCUCCAUGUCUGUCUAGUCCAGUGAAACAUGAUUUAUCCCAAUGGUCUUAGUUAGUUUCCAGAUUGGACAGUGAUAGUUCUGUGAGUAAUGUUUUAUUUAACCUUUAUUUAACUAGACAAGUCAGUUAAGAACAAAUUCUUAUUUGCAAUGACGGACUACACCGACCAAACCAGAACGAAUUGUGCGCCGCCCAAUGGGACUCCCAAUCACGGCCGGUUGUGAUACAGCCUGGAUUCAAACCAGGGUGUCUGUAGUGACGCCUCUAGCACUGAGAUGCAGUGCCUUAGACCGCUGUGCCACUUGGGAGUGAUGAUUAGUUUCCUGAUUGGACAGUGAUAGUUCUGAACAAGAGGACGAUGUGGGACUCUGAAGUCAUGGCUCCAAAAUAUCAUCUCCACUGCCCUCCUGUCUCUCUUUCUUUCUUUCUUCCUCUCCUCACCCCUGUCCUAUCUCCUUCCUCCUCCUCUCUCUCCCUUCCUCCCAUUCUCCCCCCCUCUCGCUUUCCCUCUCGUCCUGAACUGCACGCCUUGCUGUGGCUGGUCAAACGGAACCAAGUCAGGUGUUUUAGUGAGGUUUGGUCCCCUUCAACCAGCUACUGCGUCGUGAACUCAGUCAGCAGACAUCCACAGCGGGAUUGACAGACAGAGUGUCCACUGCUACUACUGUACUACUGUAGCCUACUGCUGCUGCUUGUGUGUCUGAAUCACGUCAAAUUCAUCUACUUUUUGUACCACUAUGGAUGACUUUUUUUUUAUAGAUGUUUCUGUUACGUACAUUUUUAUGUUGUGUUUCAAAAAUAAAGAAUUAAAGAUGUGACCGUGAUUUUAUCUCUGUCAUAUUUACAUUGGGUUGCUGUGCUAUAAGUUGCUGGGUAUUAGCCAA
This 2549-nucleotide long non-coding RNA is filed under the name Salmo salar (Atlantic salmon). RNAcentral describes it as "lncRNA (ENSSSAG00000097658.1)". The stretch from base 2195 to 2268 matches the Rfam family "mir-133 microRNA precursor family". Lineage: Eukaryota; Metazoa; Chordata; Actinopteri; Salmoniformes; Salmonidae. The record is from RNAcentral.